RNAcentral lists this ribosomal RNA (566 nucleotides) under uncultured bacterium. RNAcentral's name for it is "bacterial SSU rRNA". It matches the Rfam family "Bacterial small subunit ribosomal RNA", at positions 338 to 915 of the family's 1533-position model. The record is from RNAcentral.
CCUACGGGAGGCAGCAGUGGGGAAUAUUGGGCAAUGGAGGAAACUCUGACCCAGCGACGCCGCGUGAGGGAUGAAGGCCUUCGGGUUGUAAACCUCUUUCAGUAGGGAAGAAGCGAAAGUGACGGUACCUACAGAAGAAGCACCGGCUAACUAUGUGCCAGCAGCCGCGGUAAUACAUAGGGUGCAAGCGUUGUCCGGAAUUAUUGGGCGUAAAGAGCUCGUAGGUGGUUCGAUACGUCGGAUGUGAAAAUCAGGGGCUCAACCCCUGACCUGCAUCCGAUACGGUCGAGCUAGAGUUUGGUAGGGGAGACUGGAAUUCCUGGUGUAGCGGUGGAAUGCGCAGAUAUCAGGAGGAACACCGAUGGCGAAGGCAGGUCUCUGGGCCAAUACUGACACUGAGGAGCGAAAGCGUGGGGAGCGAACAGGAUUAGAUACCCUGGUAGUCCACGCCGUAAACGGUGGGCGCUAGUUGUGCGAACCUUCCACGGUUUGUGCGACGCAGCUAACGCAUUAAGCGCCCCGCCUGGGGAGUACGAUCGCAAGAUUAAAACUCAAAGGAAUUGAGG